UUNGACAAUCUGGUUGAUCCUGCCNGUCACAUACGCUUGUCUCAAGGAUUAAGCCAUGCAUGUCUAAGUAUAAACAAUUUUGUACUGUGAAACUGCGAAUAGCUCAUUAUAUCAGUUAUAGUUUAUUUGAUAGUACCUUACUACUUGGAUAACCGUAGUAAUUCUAGAGCUAAUACAUGCAUAAAUACCCGACUUUUUGGAAGGGUAGCAUUUAUUAGAAAGAAACCAAUGCGGCUUUGCCGGUAUUGAGUUGAAUCAUAAUAACUGUGCGGAUCGCACUCUGUGCGAUAAAUCAUAUAAGUUUCUGCCCUAUCAGGUUUGGAUGGUAGGGUAUUGGCCUACCAUGCCAGUAACGGGUAACGGAGUAUUAGGGUACGAUUCCGGAGAGGGAGCCUUAAAGACAGCUACCACUUCUAAGGAAGGCAGCAGGCGCGUAAAUUACCCAAUCCUGACACAGGGAGGUAGCGACAAUAAAUAACAAUGCCGGGCUUUUUAAAGUCUGGCAAUUGGAAUGAGAACAAUUUAAAUCCCUAUCGAGG
Molecule: ribosomal RNA, 539 nt
Filed under: Eurychasma dicksonii
Lineage: Eukaryota; Oomycota; Myzocytiopsidales; Eurychasmataceae
Description: SSU rRNA
Rfam family: Eukaryotic small subunit ribosomal RNA
Source: RNAcentral